RNAcentral lists this ribosomal RNA (465 nucleotides) under uncultured bacterium. RNAcentral describes it as "partial 16S ribosomal RNA". It matches the Rfam family "Bacterial small subunit ribosomal RNA", at positions 28 to 507 of the family's 1533-position model. The record is from RNAcentral.
GACGAACGCUGGCGGCGUGCUUAACACAUGCAAGUCGAACGGAAAGGCCCCUUUGGGGGUACUCGAGUGGCGCACGGGUGAGUAACACGUGCGUAACCUGCCCUUGACUUCGGGAUAACUUCAGGAAACUGGGGCUAAUACCGGAUAGGAAUCCUUGCUGCAUGGUGGGGGUUGGAAAGCUUCGGCGGUUUUGGAUGGACUCGCGGCUUAUCAGCUUGUUGGUGGGGUAGUGGCUUACCAAGGCUUUGACGGGUAGCCGGCCUGAGAGGGCGACCGGCCACAUUGGGACUGGGAUACGGCCCAGACUCCUACGGGAGGCAGCAGUGGGGAAUAGUGCACAAUGGGCGGAAGCCUGAUGCAGCAACGCCGCGGGCGGGAUGACGGCCUUCGGGUUGUAAACCGCUUUCAGCAGGGGCGAAGCUUGUGGUGACGGUACCUGCAGAAGAAGCACCGGCUAACUACGUG